Molecule: long non-coding RNA, 4374 nt
Filed under: Marmota monax (woodchuck)
Lineage: Eukaryota; Metazoa; Chordata; Mammalia; Rodentia; Sciuridae
Source: RNAcentral
CCUUUUUUCUUUUUUCAUUUUUAGACAGGGUUUCCCUAAAUUGCUCCAUCUGGCCUCAAACUUAGUAAUCCUUCUGCCUCAGCCUCCUGAAUGACUGGGAUUACAAGUGUGGGGUACCACGCUCAGCUUGGUGAAGGCCUUCUUAUUUCAUCCUUACAUAGUAGUAGAAGAAAAGAGAGUGAAUUCUCUCACUCAAGUUUUUUUUUUUCUUCCUGUACCAGGAAUUGAACAACCCAUUGGCAUUUACCAAUGAGCCAUAUCCCCAGCUCUUUUUAUUUUUAAUUUUGAGACAGGAUCUUACUAAGUAACUUGCUAUCUUCCUGACUCAGCCUCCCAAGUCACCACCUGCACCCAGCUACCUCAAGACUUAUUAAGAGUCCUGAUGCCGUCCGGGAGGGCUCUGCCCUCUUGAUUUAUCACCUCCUAAAGGUCCUACCUCUUAAUACUAUCACACUGACAACCAAGUUUCAACAUAUUAAUUUAGGGGAUACAUUCAGACCAUAGCAAAGUUAAGAGAAAAGAGAGAUCACCUUUGCUGUGUAGAAAUGAAGGAAUGGUAUUUGAACUGACACUGAAGAAUUUUUAUAAAAGUUCACCAUCUGGGAAUGGCCUGCACAAUAGCUUGUUUUUUAGAGAAUCUGAGUGAAAAUCAAUAAAUAAAGUUGUUUUUAAUAGAGCACAAGGGUCUAGGGAAUAGCUCAGUGGCUGAGUGCUUGCCUAGCAUGUACAAAGUCCUGGGUUUAGUCCUCAGCACUGCAAAAAGAAAAAAAAAAUAAAGGCCAAGAUUCAUAAGAUGGUAAGAAAAUAAAAAUGAAAGUAAAAACUGAGAAUAUUAGGAAGAAAUUUAUUUUCAGUAUCAUGAUAUUUCCAGGAUUAAGGAGGAAUUUAUUUUUCCUUCCAUGAAAACUUUAGUUCUUUUGAUUCUCUUCUUUGGCUUUUAGAAAAGAAACUGAUAUAGUAAUGAUCUUAGGUAUCAAAUAAUGAGAAUAGGGGAGAGAUUAAAGUCUCACUAGACAUAUUUAUGCUUUAAUAUUUGCUUUUGAUAAUAUUAAAUUUAAAUUAUUAGAUUUUUUAAAUAUUUUUUUAAUUGUAGUUGGACACAAUACCUUUAUUUUAUUUACUUUUAUGUGGUGCUGAGGAUCGAACCCAGGGCCUUGCAUGUGCUAGGCAAGUGCUCUACUGCUGAGCCACAACCCCAACCCUAUUAGAUGGAUUUUAAAACAGACUUCAGGGUUAGUAAAGAAAACACAGGCCCUUAUUGCAUUGUGUUCCAUGCUCCUCAAGUCACAGGGUCCUUGGGGCUAGGGGUGUGGUUCAGUGGUAGAACUCUUGCCAGGCUUUUCUGGUUUCCAUCCCCAGUAUCAUACACCACACACACACACACACACACACACACACGUACACACUUGAGUGCGAAUGCACACACACCUGCACACACAAGUCACAUGAUCCUGAUGUUUUUUUUCUUCCCUUGAAAAUUCCUAUCAUUCUGAGACUGUCCAAUUCUAUGGGAGACAACACUCAGCAAAGGAAAAACAUACCCCACACUUACAUGAAGCCCCUUCAGGGCAGUUCCUAAACAUCAGAAUGCAUUCCCUGAUUUUGUUUUGUUUUAUUUAUUUAUUUUGGUACUGGGAGUGGCUCUACUACUUUGAUCCCAGGAGUGGCUCUACUACUGGGCUACAUCCCUGUUUUUAUUUUUUAAAUUUUGAGAUAGGGUCUCACUAAGUUGUUGAGGCUAGCUUCAAACUUUCUGUUCUGCUUCAGCCCCCCAAGUAGCUGGCAAGUACCACUACACCUGUCUAUUUCCUGGUUUUGAAAAAGGAACCCCUAUCCCGUUGCUUGAUAAAACAUAGAAGGUCAAUUUUUAAAGUUUUCUCUAUUCUUUAAGAUUUUACUUUAGAAAAGAAAGAUAAUAUAUGGAAUUGAACUGGGUAGAGAAAAUAGAUUUAAGGCAAUGCUGAAAUUCUUAGAGAAUUUAAUUUACAAAAAUUACAAUAUGAGGUUACAUUUUAUUUUCCUCUGGGGUAUAAAGAGCACUGUGAACUAUCACAUUCUAUGUUAUCAAUUCAUAUUUGACUUUUAUCUUUUAGUGGUAUCUUGAGGGACAUAAUAUUUCUAACAGAUUAAAAAUAAGGGAAAAUUUACAAGUCAAAUAACUAAAAACGUGAUUAACAAACAACAUUGGGGGUAAAAUUCAGUAGUAAAGCGCUUACCUAGCAUGCAUAAGGCUCUGGGUUCAAUCCCCAUCACUAAAGAAAAAAAAGGGGAAUGAUAUUAUGAGUGCACAUACCUACAUUCACGUGCUACUUUCACCAGUUACAAUCUAAACAGAGUUUGGUCCUGUCUCUAGAAACCAGGUCUUCCUUUUCUCUAAGCAAUAGGUUCAUUGGGCAGCUUCUUCUGAGGUCUAACUAAGCCCUGAGGAUCUGAAGUAGAACCUUCUAGAAGACAUUGCUUUUGAUGCCCAACAGACCUCAGCAUCUCUUCUUGAGUACUCUAUGGAAACUUCCCUGGGAAGCAUCUGGGGUCACCGUUAGCAGAUCCGAUUCAUGCUGCUUGUAUCUCCAGCAUGUCAAGCCCUCUCCAAUCUCUAAACCACUCACAUCCAGGAAGGCUUCCUACUAGGCCCCAUGAGGCUAAGUCACCACAAGUCAGGCAGCUAUCAGCCUGGAAAAACCAUCCAGUGGUGAGUUGUACUCUGGUGUUUAUUUUUUUCCCCAUUCUCAUAAGGAAGUAAAUCAAUCUCUCCCACACAACUGAGAGCUUGAAGAAAGGGAAAGUCCAUUCUGUUUGUCCAUUUGCCUAUGCUAGUGCCCUGACCCCUUUCUUUGCUAGUGAAUGAAUACAAGAAAUGAGGUCAAAUGAUAUCCCACUUCUUUUGAUUUCUGGCUUGAUUCUAGAACAAGGAGCAAGGAAAUAUUAGAAUCUAAUAAAACCUCAAACGGAUUUUGGUUUUGACUGUUUUUGUAGUUCUGGUAUUUCACUAAUGCCCAUUAUCCCCAAAAUAAUAUAAAAAUAGACUGUAAAUUGAGUUUGAUCUAGUUCAAUUAUUUUGCAGAUUAGGAUACUGAACCCCAGAGAAAGGCCACAGUGAUUAAGUGGCGGAACUAAGUAGUCUGACUCUCAUUAUCUUUUUAGUGCACCACAUUUUUUUGUUUGUUUAUUUGCUUUUUGUAGUACUGGAGAUAGAACCCAAGGCCUUACCCAUGCUAGGCAAGCAUUGAACUAUAUCCUCAGACUUUUUAAUUUUUAUUUAUUUAUUUACUUUCUGUUUUUUGCAGUACUGGGGAUUGAACUUUAGAGUGCUCUACUACCAAGCCAUAUCCCCAACCCUUCUAUUUUUUUAUUUUAAGACAAGGUCUUGCUAAGUCAUCUAGGCGAGGCUUGAACUUGCCAUCCUCCUGCCUCAGCCUCCUGAGUUGCUGGGAUUAUUUUUUAUUUUAAGAUAGGGUCUCACUAAGACUGGCCUCAAUUUGAGAUCCUUCUGCCUCUGUCUCUAGUAGCUGUGAUUACAGAUGAGCACUACCAGGCCUGGAAUCAAUUACCUAGUAGUUCAUGUUUCUAUAAACUUUUUAUUAGAUGCACAUUAAAAUUUCCCCAUUUUAUUGAUUCCUAUGUUUUCAGAAAUUGUGUCUGCACAAUUUAUAGAUGUGCAGCAUUUCCUCAUGGCUCACAUUACAAAUUGUUUUAGAAAAUGUGAAGUAGCUUUUUGGGUCAGCAUGUUGUUGCUUGCUGUUUUCUUGGGACCUAAUGUGUUUGUUAGGGUAGCACCUCAAAAUGAAUAUUUUCAAGUUUGGUCUAUUUAAAACUACUUACUUGAGUUAAUAUAAGCCAGAAUAUUGUGGGUUUUUAUUCACAGGGUACAUGUUUAGUAAUUAAUUGGCAAUUUCUCUUUGUAGGCUUGUUUUGAUCUACCUCCUGAGGUGAUUUCUACCAGGAACCCAGUUACAUGCAACAAAAGGGCAGCUGACCCAGUCCAUCCUGACUUUGCUGGUUUGUUGGUGAAAAACAAGAAUCUUUUAGCUGAGGUAUAGAGAUUAUAUAAACAAAAAAGAACACUAGAAAAUUAUAUCUUCUGUAGAAGUAGGGAGAGUAAACAUUCUGAUAAAGAGCUCAAGGUAUUAUCUAUCCCACUUUUGCUUUUUUUGUGUGUGUGCGUGUUCUCAAUAUUGAAUUCUUUCAUUCCUGAGGAGUAAUUUUAAUUUAGACUCAAAUCUGUCUUUUGACAGAGAAUAUCCACUGGAGAUGACUGACAAAUUUGGGAUAUUAGAACACAGCUUACAGAUUACCAUGCUUAAAAUUUAUGUAAAAAUAAUAAUCAAUUAUAUGUACUAAGUUGUUUGUUUUCCAGUGCUAGGGAUUAAACCCAGG